RNAcentral lists this ribosomal RNA (2182 nucleotides) under Bacillus spizizenii. RNAcentral describes it as "partial 23S ribosomal RNA". It matches the Rfam family "Bacterial large subunit ribosomal RNA", at positions 1 to 2179 of the family's 2925-position model. The record is from RNAcentral. Lineage: Bacteria; Bacillati; Bacillota; Bacilli; Caryophanales; Bacillaceae.
GGUUAAGUUAGAAAGGGCGCACGGUGGAUGCCUUGGCACUAGGAGCCGAUGAAGGACGGGACGAACACCGAUAUGCUUCGGGGAGCUGUAAGCAAGCUUUGAUCCGGAGAUUUCCGAAUGGGGAAACCCACCACUCGUAAUGGAGUGGUAUCCAUAUCUGAAUUCAUAGGAUAUGAGAAGGCAGACCCGGGGAACUGAAACAUCUAAGUACCCGGAGGAAGAGAAAGCAAAUGCGAUUCCCUGAGUAGCGGCGAGCGAAACGGGAUUAGCCCAAACCAAGAGGCUUGCCUCUUGGGGUUGUAGGACACUCUGUACGGAGUUACAAAAGAACGAGGUAGAUGAAGAGGUCUGGAAAGGCCCGCCAUAGGAGGUAACAGCCCUGUAGUCAAAACUUCGUUCUCUCCUGAGUGGAUCCUGAGUACGGCGGAACACGUGAAAUUCCGUCGGAAUCCGGGAGGACCAUCUCCCAAGGCUAAAUACUCCCUAGUGACCGAUAGUGAACCAGUACCGUGAGGGAAAGGUGAAAAGCACCCCGGAAGGGGAGUGAAAGAGAUCCUGAAACCGUGUGCCUACAAGUAGUCAGAGCCCGUUAACGGGUGAUGGCGUGCCUUUUGUAGAAUGAACCGGCGAGUUACGAUCCCGUGCAAGGUUAAGCAGAAGAUGCGGAGCCGCAGCGAAAGCGAGUCUGAAUAGGGCGCAUGAGUACGUGGUCGUAGACCCGAAACCAGGUGAUCUACCCAUGUCCAGGGUGAAGUUCAGGUAACACUGAAUGGAGGCCCGAACCCACGCACGUUGAAAAGUGCGGGGAUGAGGUGUGGGUAGGGGUGAAAUGCCAAUCGAACCUGGAGAUAGCUGGUUCUCUCCGAAAUAGCUUUAGGGCUAGCCUCAAGGUAAGAGUCUUGGAGGUAGAGCACUGAUUGGACUAGGGGCCCCUACCGGGUUACCGAAUUCAGUCAAACUCCGAAUGCCAAUGACUUAUCCUUGGGAGUCAGACUGCGAGUGAUAAGAUCCGUAGUCGAAAGGGAAACAGCCCAGACCGCCAGCUAAGGUCCCAAAGUAUACGUUAAGUGGAAAAGGAUGUGGAGUUGCUUAGACAACCAGGAUGUUGGCUUAGAAGCAGCCACCAUUUAAAGAGUGCGUAAUAGCUCACUGGUCGAGUGACUCUGCGCCGAAAAUGUACCGGGGCUAAACGUAUCACCGAAGCUGCGGACUGUUCUUCGAACAGUGGUAGGAGAGCGUUCUAAGGGCUGUGAAGCCAGACCGGAAGGACUGGUGGAGCGCUUAGAAGUGAGAAUGCCGGUAUGAGUAGCGAAAGAGGGGUGAGAAUCCCCUCCACCGAAUGCCUAAGGUUUCCUGAGGAAGGCUCGUCCGCUCAGGGUUAGUCGGGACCUAAGCCGAGGCCGAAAGGCGUAGGCGAUGGACAACAGGUUGAUAUUCCUGUACCACCUCCUCACCAUUUGAGCAAUGGGGGGACGCAGGAGGAUAGGGUAAGCGCGGUAUUGGAUAUCCGCGUCCAAGCAGUUAGGCUGGGAAAUAGGCAAAUCCGUUUCCCAUAAGGCUGAGCUGUGAUGGCGAGCGAAAUGUAGUAGCGAAGUUCCUGAUUCCACACUGCCAAGAAAAGCCUCUAGCGAGGUGAGAGGUGCCCGUACCGCAAACCGACACAGGUAGGCGAGGAGAGAAUCCUAAGGUGAUCGAGAGAACUCUCGUUAAGGAACUCGGCAAAAUGACCCCGUAACUUCGGGAGAAGGGGUGCUCUGUUAGGGUGCAAGCCCGAGAGAGCCGCAGUGAAUAGGCCCAGGCGACUGUUUAGCAAAAACACAGGUCUCUGCGAAGCCGUAAGGCGAAGUAUAGGGGCUGACGCCUGCCCGGUGCUGGAAGGUUAAGAGGAGCGCUUAGCGUAAGCGAAGGUGCGAAUUGAAGCCCCAGUAAACGGCGGCCGUAACUAUAACGGUCCUAAGGUAGCGAAAUUCCUUGUCGGGUAAGUUCCGACCCGCACGAAAGGCGCAACGAUCUGGGCACUGUCUCAACGAGAGACUCGGUGAAAUUAUAGUACCUGUGAAGAUGCAGGUUACCCGCGACAGGACGGAAAGACCCCGUGGAGCUUUACUGCAGCCUGAUAUUGAAUGUUGGUACAGCUUGUACAGGAUAGGUAGGAGCCUUGGAAACCGGAGCGCCAGCUUCG